UAGGGAAUCUUCGGCAAUGGGGGGAACCCUGACCGAGCAACGCCGCGUGAGUGAAGAAGGUUUUCGGAUCGUAAAGCUCUGUUGUUAAGGAAGAACGAGUGUGAGAAUGGAAAGUUCAUACUGUGACGGUACUUAACCAGAAAGGGACGGCUAACUACGUGCCAGCAGCCGCGGUAAUACGUAGGUCCCGAGCGUUGUCCGGAUUUAUUGGGCGUAAAGCGAGCGCAGGCGGUUAGAUAAGUCUGAAGUUAAAGGCAGUGGCUCAACCAUUGUAGGCUUUGGAAACUGUUUAACUUGAGUGCAGAAGGGGAGAGUGGAAUUCCAUGUGUAGCGGUGAAAUGCGUAGAUAUAUGGAGGAACACCGGUGGCUAAAGCGGCUCUCUGGUCUGUAACUGACGCUGAGGCUCGAAAGCGUGGGGAGCGAACAGG
Molecule: ribosomal RNA, 429 nt
Filed under: Bacteroidota bacterium
Lineage: Bacteria; Pseudomonadati; Bacteroidota
Description: Bacteroidetes bacterium partial 16S ribosomal RNA
Rfam family: Bacterial small subunit ribosomal RNA
Source: RNAcentral